RNAcentral lists this unclassified non-coding RNA (167 nucleotides) under soil metagenome. Its description in RNAcentral is "partial contains 5.8S ribosomal RNA, internal transcribed spacer 2, and large subunit ribosomal RNA". The record is from RNAcentral.
AACAUCGCGCACCUGCGGGAACCUGCGGAGGGAUCAUUUUCGGGGAGAUCAACAGACUUGUGGGGGGGAACCCCACGAGUUGGUAACACGGACACAAACACAUUUCGAUGGAACACGGCAUUUGUCUGAAUGGAAAUUGAUUUGAUAAAACUUUUAACAACGGAUCU